UACGUAGGUGGCAAGCGUUGUCCGGAUUUACUGGGUGUAAAGGGAGCGCAGGCGGCUUUGCAAGUCUGAUGUGAAAGGCCGGGGCUCAACCCCGGGACUGCAUUGGAAACUGUAAAGCUAGAGUGCCGGAGAGGUAAGCGGAAUUCCUAGUGUAGCGGUGAAAUGCGUAGAUAUUAGGAGGAACACCAGUGGCGAAGGCGGCUUACUGGACGGCAACUGACGCUGAGGCUCGAAAGCGUGGGGAGCAAACAGG
Molecule: ribosomal RNA, 253 nt
Filed under: uncultured bacterium
Lineage: Bacteria
Description: partial 16S ribosomal RNA
Rfam family: Bacterial small subunit ribosomal RNA
Source: RNAcentral